This 29-nucleotide non-coding RNA is filed under the name Mus musculus (house mouse). Lineage: Eukaryota; Metazoa; Chordata; Mammalia; Rodentia; Muridae. The record is from RNAcentral.
UCCCAUUAUCCAUAGCCAGAAGUAUUCAA